CUCAUAAGUUUGACAAUAAGAGGAACCAUUUAUGCUCUAAAUUUAAAGCAUAUGGUGGUGUCACAAAAUCGGAGGCCACGACUGUUUACUAAAAACACAAUUCAGAGCAAUGAUGAAAAUCAUAGUAUUCUGGAUGAAAUUUGCCCGAUGCCAUUAACAUAAAAGAGGUAAUGGGAAACUGUUACUAAUUGAAAGUCUGGUUAAUAGCGGUCUUAACUAUGAGGAUCCUAAGGUAGCAAAAUCAGUUGGCCAUUAAAUGUGGUCUGGUAUCAAUAGUGUAACGAUGGUCUCACUGUCUCUACAACUUGCUCAGUGAAAUUGAAUUAUCCGUGCAGAUGCGGAUUGCCUCCAGGUGGACGGGAAGACCCUAU
Molecule: ribosomal RNA, 371 nt
Filed under: Thelephoroid sp. E55gn
Lineage: Eukaryota; Fungi; Basidiomycota; Agaricomycetes; Thelephorales; Thelephoraceae
Description: LSU rRNA
Rfam family: Bacterial large subunit ribosomal RNA
Source: RNAcentral